Molecule: unclassified non-coding RNA, 203 nt
Filed under: Hevea brasiliensis (rubber tree)
Lineage: Eukaryota; Viridiplantae; Streptophyta; Magnoliopsida; Malpighiales; Euphorbiaceae
Source: RNAcentral
UUGGAACUGGAGGAGGAAGUGGCUUUACUACUGGUGGCUCUGGUUUAGGCUUGGGUUUGUGAGUUGGAACUUUAGGAGGGCAUGGUUUUUUAACUGGUGGAGGCUUUGGUUUUGGAACUGAAGGGGGACAUGGCUUUUUAACUGGAGGCUCUGGUUUGGGCUUGUAGACAGGAACUGGAGGAGGCUUUGGUUUUGGUUUGUAA